RNAcentral lists this ribosomal RNA (253 nucleotides) under uncultured Glaciimonas sp. RNAcentral's name for it is "partial 16S ribosomal RNA". It matches the Rfam family "Bacterial small subunit ribosomal RNA", at positions 524 to 776 of the family's 1533-position model. Lineage: Bacteria; Pseudomonadati; Pseudomonadota; Betaproteobacteria; Burkholderiales; Oxalobacteraceae. The record is from RNAcentral.
UACGUAGGGUGCAAGCGUUAAUCGGAAUUACUGGGCGUAAAGCGUGCGCAGGCGGUUUUUUAAGACAGGUGUGAAAUCCCCGGGCUUAACCUGGGAAUGGCAUUUGUGACUGGAAGGCUAGAGUGUGUCAGAGGGGGGUAGAAUUCCACGUGUAGCAGUGAAAUGCGUAGAGAUGUGGAGGAAUACCGAUGGCGAAGGCAGCCCCCUGGGAUAACACUGACGCUCAUGCACGAAAGCGUGGGGAGCAAACAGG